CGACCGGCGUACGGGUGAGUAACGCGUAUCCAACCUGCCCUUUACUAUGGGACAGCCCGUCGAAAGGCGGAUUAAUACCGUAUGUUGUCAUGUUGAUGCAUAUUUUCAUGACCAAAGGCUUCGGCCGGUAAAGGAUGGGGAUGCGUCUGAUUAGCUUGCCGGCGGGGUAACGGCCCACCGGGGCGACGAUCAGUAGCCGGCCUGAGAGGGCGGACGGCCACAUUGGGACUGAGACACGGCCCAGACUCCUACGGAAGGCAGCAG
Molecule: ribosomal RNA, 264 nt
Filed under: uncultured bacterium
Lineage: Bacteria
Description: partial 16S ribosomal RNA
Rfam family: Bacterial small subunit ribosomal RNA
Source: RNAcentral